UACGGGAGGCAGCAGUGGGGAAUAUUGCACAAUGGGCGAAAGCCUGAUGCAGCUAUGCCGCGUGUAUGAAGAAGGCCUUUAGGGGUUGUAAAGUACUUUCAUCGGGGAGGAAAAAACAAAACUAAUAAUUUUAUUUCUUGACGUUACCCGAAAAAGAAGCACCGGCUAACUCCAUGCCAGCAGCCGCGGUAAUACGGAGGGUGCUAGCGUUAAUCAGAAUUACUGGGCGUAAAGAGCACGUAGGUGGUUUUUUUUAAAGUCAGAUGUGAAAUCCCCUGGGCUUAACCUAGGAACUGCAUUUUUGAAACUGAAAUACUAGAGUAUCGUAGAGGGAGGUAGAAUUCUAGGUGUAGCGGUGAAAUGCGUAGAUAUCUGGAGGAAUACCUGUGGCGAAAGCGGCCUCCUAAACGAAUACUGACACUGAGGUGCGAAAGCGUGGGGAGCAAACAGGGAUUAGAUACC
RNAcentral lists this ribosomal RNA (462 nucleotides) under uncultured bacterium. RNAcentral describes it as "bacterial SSU rRNA". It matches the Rfam family "Bacterial small subunit ribosomal RNA", at positions 340 to 786 of the family's 1533-position model. The record is from RNAcentral.